RNAcentral lists this ribosomal RNA (156 nucleotides) under Sorghum bicolor (sorghum). Its description in RNAcentral is "rRNA 5_8S_rRNA". It matches the Rfam family "5.8S ribosomal RNA". From Rfam's summary of the family: 5.8S ribosomal RNA (5.8S rRNA) is a component of the large subunit of the eukaryotic ribosome. It is transcribed by RNA polymerase I as part of the 45S precursor that also contains 18S and 28S rRNA. Lineage: Eukaryota; Viridiplantae; Streptophyta; Magnoliopsida; Poales; Poaceae. The record is from RNAcentral.
GACUCUCGGCAACGGAUAUCUCGGCUCUCGCAUCGAUGAAGAAUGUAGCAAAAUGCGAUACCUGGUGUGAAUUGCAGAAUCCCGCGAACCAUCGAGUUUUUGAACGCAAGUUGCGCCCGAGGCCUUCCGGCCGAGGGCACGUCUGCCUGGGCGUCA